This 276-nucleotide ribosomal RNA is filed under the name Triticum aestivum (bread wheat). Its description in RNAcentral is "partial small subunit ribosomal RNA". Lineage: Eukaryota; Viridiplantae; Streptophyta; Magnoliopsida; Poales; Poaceae. The record is from RNAcentral.
CUUGAUAUCGGCACAAGAACAAUGAAAGGAGAUCUUGUGAAGUUUGUCAUGAAGUGUUAUGAUCCAGAGUUGUCGAAGCUUGUUAUCCCAGAUAGGGGGAAGAUCCCAGUUGAUGCAACAAGCGUAGAAAGAAUCUAGGGUUUGCCAAGGGGGCAGAGGAAGGUUGCGCAUGAAGUGGAGCCAGACGUACUUAGGUUGUUCAAUGAGACGUUCAACAUCCCGACAGGGCCCACGCCAACACUGACCGAGUGGUGCAAAAUGAUAGAUGAUAUGUGA